Molecule: non-coding RNA, 2357 nt
Organism: Nicotiana tabacum (common tobacco)
Lineage: Eukaryota; Viridiplantae; Streptophyta; Magnoliopsida; Solanales; Solanaceae
Source: RefSeq, a predicted model, not a curated record
UAGAUUUUGGUCUUUUUUUUCUUUUUCCUUCAGAUUUUCAUUUGGGUUCUUCUUUGCUCAAACCUUUUGAGAGAACGCCUCACAUUUCAAUUCUCACUUCAUCUUUUCUUAUGCUUCCUCCUUUCCUUUUUUUUUUUGGUGAAUUUUGCUGUUCUUCUUCUUACCCUCUGCUUUGCAGCUUUGCGUAUUAUUUUCUGGCUGCCUUUCUUUUUUCUUUCAAUAUUGUAUAUUUUGGUUUUUCUGAAGAGGGACGUUGUUUCUAAUUAGUUGCAUUUUCUAAUUAGUUGCAUACCAUGAACGAAUCAAGAGGGUCGAAUUAAGAAAUAAUCCUGAGGUGUUGGAUGUUGGUUCAAAUAAUCUGUUUCAGCAGCUAUUAUUUUAUGUUUCUCUUCACCGAAUCAUGAAUGGAUUUCUUUAAUGACUUUUUGGUGGUCUUUCUUCAUGUUCUCUGUGUGGGUUCUGCUCAUGCAUGUAAUUAAUUGUUUGACAGCCUUUACGGGAGUACACACAAUGUGUAGAUAAGGCUUUUGAAGUGAAAGUCGCUCAAGAUGGGGAAAAAGAGAUACUACUAUAACUCUUGAAGAUGUGAGAUUAUUUUUUAUCCAGAAAUUUCAUUGACAUCACAGAGGUGAAGUGUAUCCCUUUACUGAGGUUCCUUCAUUGUGGAAUUUGUACAACUUCGUGGUAAAUGCUUCUCAUUAUUAGUAUGAUAAAUUUUGAAAAUGUAUAUUUGUAUCAUAGUAAAGACUAUUCUAUUUGAAGGUUUUCUUGUCAUACGCUUCUACUUAUUGGAGAAAUUUACCGAGGGUGAGUCUAUUCCCGAGUUAUAUGCAUUUACUUUGUAGUACAUUGUAUCUGACUCUUAGUUAAAUCAUAUGUGAUGGUCUGCAAAGUCAACUAUUAUAGUGGCUAUGAGCAGCUUUCCAUGAUGAUCUCAUCGUAAGAGAUUGACUUUCGGACCGUGUUUAUGACAAAUAUAAUAUUUGAUGCAAGUAUGACAAGAUUUGUGCAACUCAAGUACAAGAGUUUUGCUUUAAAACACAACACUCACUUCAGAAACGAAAACAAUUAAUUACAAGCAAAUAAAAAUUCGCUAUCCAUCAAGUCUUUCAAAGGAUUUUGUUCUCGAAGUAAUGUCAUCUGGUAUAUUUGGCUCAAUUUAUACUUUCAUUGUUUAUCUGUAGGAUGAGUGCUUUGGAAUGAUGUAAGCUCAUCCAGCUGAGAGUGAUGUAUAUUUGCUUGGGUUGCUAAGGUACUUAUAUGUGUCUUUCGUCUCACCACUGAACAACCGCGUAGCCUACCAGUCUGUCACUUUUCUAACUCGCUUCGUCUCUCUAGGAAGGUAGAGAGGAAGCCGACGGCUGUCAUCUCCGCACAUUCAAUCUCCUUUCACUUUCAAGUAAACCAAGCUCUGCUCUCUGUUGCAAAACACUUUUCUCUUUCUCUUUUUUUUUUUUUGUAGAUUUUGUAUGAUUUUCUGUUAUGUGAAAAAGCCAAGAAAGUUGAGAGAUGCUUGUGGGUGUCUGUUUUGUGAUCUAUGAAAGGUGGUAAAAGAUAUUGAAAUUCUUGAUGGGAAAUGGGUUUCUUUUUAAUUUCUUGGUUAUAAAUAACUAGAUGUAGCGAAUCUUGGAUUAUAAAUGAAAUACACCAGAUUAUUUCUCUAUUUGUUUUGAGUUGUAUAUGUUGAUAUUCCAAAAGUUCCAUACUACUAAUUUGAAUCUCAACUGAUUAUGGAAUUUUCAGGUUUUGCUUCUCUAUCUCAGUGCGCAUCUGUUUCUGUAUGUUAUAAACAUUUGAAUCUUGACUUUUUGAGUUUACAGUUAUUGAAAAUCUUUACGUACUUGGAAAUUCAAAUGUUUUCGCUGUAGGGAGAUUUUCUGGAUGAAUGAACUUCCUGGGAAAUUGAAUCUAAUUAUUUGUUUCUCUUUAAAAGAGAACACGUGGUUCCGCGUGGUUUCUUCCAUGCAUUUUCAGAUGUGUUCGUCAUUCGCAUAUCGUCUGAGAUUAGCUGAUUGCAACCAAAGCCCAGUCAGUGAACUUGACUAUGGUUGAACUUUAGUACUCGAGAUCUAAAAGUAUACUUUUGUCCUAUUUUGCAAACGGAAAAGGGCCAACAAUACCCCUAACGUAUUGAAAAUGGCUCAAAAAUACCAUCGGUUAACCUUUUGGUCCGCAAAUACCCCUAACGUUUGUUUUUUGGGCUUAAACUUACCCUUAUAUCUAACCAAACUUAUCUGGUCAAUUUUUUGACUUUAACUUCGUCAUGUGACAUUUUCUUAACGCAUCACGUAUAUUAUUUGUAUUAAAUAAAACUUGCAUGUAUCUUUUAAAAUACCCAACGACAUUGACCCGCUUCU